AGUGAGCCUGCUCGCGAUAGCGGUGUGUCAGACACAUCAGUUUUGACUGAUCCGACGCUAUCGCGAGCAGGCUCACU
This 77-nucleotide non-coding RNA is filed under the name Pseudomonas sp. 29. The record is from RNAcentral. Lineage: Bacteria; Pseudomonadati; Pseudomonadota; Gammaproteobacteria; Pseudomonadales; Pseudomonadaceae.